GCAAAGGGGUAACCCAAUGGACCCUAGGUUUUAGUUUGUCCCUUUGAUGGAUAGGGACAACAGCAUAAGCAAGGCAUCCAAAAGCUCUCAAAUGCGAGUAGGAUGGGGCUUUGCCAUAUAAAAUUUCAUGGGGAGACUUAUGAUGGAGAGUUCUGGUAGGUAUUUUGUUAAGGAGAUAUGUGGCAGUUAACAGGCAAUCACCCCAGAAAGAGACAGGUAGACCAGAUUGAAAAAGUAAUGCUCUACAUGUUUCAAGAGUGUUCUGUGUUUCCUUUCAACAACAUCAUUCUGUUGGGGAGAAUGAGGACAGGAGGUUUGAUGAAUGAUCCCCUGGCUACUAAAAAGGGAUUUUCCCUCAGUGCUGCUGGGGAGAAUGAGGGCAAGAGGUUUGAUGAAUGAUCCCCUGGCUACUAAAGAAGGAUUUACCCUCAGUGCUGGACCCCAGUUCUAAGGCAUAGUCACUUCUGACAGUUUGGACUACAGAAUUGAAUUGAGUUUUUAACAAAGGAAAUGAAAGACUUAACUAGGGAAAAGGCAUUGCUUUUGGAUCCCAUUAGGUGUGUCCAGGUUGCCCUAGAGAAGUCAUAAACUAUAGUAAGGAAGUAUUUGUAACCAAAAGAAGUAGAAGUGUGGUAAGGUCCCCAAGUAUCCACAUGUAUCAAUUGGAAUGGUCUAGUUGUACUGAUACUACUGUCAUGAAAAGGAAGUCUAG
This 712-nucleotide long non-coding RNA is filed under the name Nicotiana benthamiana. RNAcentral describes it as "long non-coding RNA (NBEN_LNC019877)". The record is from RNAcentral. Lineage: Eukaryota; Viridiplantae; Streptophyta; Magnoliopsida; Solanales; Solanaceae.